GACGAACGCUGGCGGCGUGCUUAAGACAUGCAAGUCGUACGAGAAAGCCUCUUCGGAGGUGAGUAAAGUGGCGCACGGGUGAGUAACACGUGGGUAAUCUGCCCUUGGGUUUGGGAUAACCCCGGGAAACCGGAGCUAAUACCGAAUGAGACCACGACGACCUUGGUCGAUGUGGGAAAAGAUGGCCUCUUCUUGAAAGCUAUCGCCAAAGGAUGAGCCCGCGGUUGAUUAGCUAGUUGGUGAGGUAACGGCUCACCAAGGCUCCGAUCAAUAGCUGGUCUGAGAGGAUGAUCAGCCACACUGGAACUGAGAUACGGUCCAGACUCCUACGGGAGGCUG
RNAcentral lists this ribosomal RNA (339 nucleotides) under uncultured Pseudomonadota bacterium. RNAcentral's name for it is "bacterial SSU rRNA". It matches the Rfam family "Bacterial small subunit ribosomal RNA", at positions 28 to 351 of the family's 1533-position model. The record is from RNAcentral. Lineage: Bacteria; Pseudomonadati; Pseudomonadota.